This 239-nucleotide ribosomal RNA is filed under the name uncultured bacterium. Its description in RNAcentral is "partial 16S ribosomal RNA". It matches the Rfam family "Bacterial small subunit ribosomal RNA", at positions 531 to 769 of the family's 1533-position model. The record is from RNAcentral.
AGUGCAAGCGUUAUCCGGAUUCAUUGGGUGUAAAGGGUGCGUAGGCGGAUUUGCAAGUCAGGUGUGAAAACUAUCGGCUUAACCGGUAGCCUGCACUUGAAACUGUAAGUCUUGAGUGGUGAAGAGGUAAGCGGAAUUCCUAGUGUAGCGGUGAAAUGCGUAGAUAUUAGGAGGAACACCAGUGGCGAAGGCGGCUUACUGGGCACUAACUGACGCUGAGGCACGAAAGCAUGGGGAGC